AUGGGAGAGGUUUGUAUCUUUCAUGGAAAGGAAGGGUCCCCCUUCGUUCGAGUCCACCAUUGGAUCAUCAAUCACAUAGGUUUUAAAACGAUCCAAACUACAUUUAUCUACCUCACAUAUUUCAAAGCAAUCCAUGGAUGGUCCAACAAUGAAUUUGAGUGAAGGAAAGGUAAUCCUUCUUUCGUACGAAAGAUGCAAUCCAUUCC
Molecule: long non-coding RNA, 206 nt
Filed under: Elaeis guineensis (African oil palm)
Lineage: Eukaryota; Viridiplantae; Streptophyta; Magnoliopsida; Arecales; Arecaceae
Description: long non-coding RNA (EGUI_LNC011428)
Source: RNAcentral